Molecule: ribosomal RNA, 497 nt
Filed under: uncultured bacterium
Lineage: Bacteria
Description: partial 16S ribosomal RNA
Rfam family: Bacterial small subunit ribosomal RNA
Source: RNAcentral
GAUGAACGCUGGCGGCGUGCCUAAUACAUGCAAGUCGAGCGGACGGACGAGAAGCUUGCUUCUCUGAUGUUAGCGGCGGACGGGUGAGUAACACGUGGAUAACCUACCUAUAAGACUGGGAUAACUUCGGGAAACCGGAGCUAAUACCGGACAAUAUUUUGAACCGCAUGGUUCAAAAGUGAAAGACGGUCUUGCUGUCACUUAUAGAUGGAUCCGCGCUGCAUUAGCUAGUUGGUAAGGUAACGGCUUACCAAGGCAACGAUGCAUAGCCGACCUGAGAGGGUGAUCGGCCACACUGGAACUGAGACACGGUCCAGACUCCUACGGGAGGCAGCAGUAGGGAAUCUUCCGCAAUGGGCGAAAGCCUGACGGAGCAACGCCGCGUGAGUGAUGAAGGUCUUCGGAUCGUAAAACUCUGUUAUUAGGGAAGAACAUAUGUGUAAGUAACUGUGCACAUCUUGACGGUACCUAAUCAGAAAGCCACGGCUAACUACGUG